UACGAAGGGGGCUAGCGUUGCUCGGAAUCACUGGGCGUAAAGCGCACGUAGGCGGAUUGUUAAGUCAGGGGUGAAAUCCUGGAGCUCAACUCCAGAACUGCCUUUGAUACUGGCGAUCUCGAGUCCGGGAGAGGUGAGUGGAACUGCGAGUGUAGAGGUGAAAUUCGUAGAUAUUCGCAAGAACACCAGUGGCGAAGGCGGCUAUCUGGACCGACAUUGACGCUGAGGCGCGAAAGCGUGGGGAGCAAACAGG
RNAcentral lists this ribosomal RNA (253 nucleotides) under uncultured bacterium. RNAcentral describes it as "partial 16S ribosomal RNA". It matches the Rfam family "Bacterial small subunit ribosomal RNA", at positions 524 to 776 of the family's 1533-position model. The record is from RNAcentral.